Molecule: long non-coding RNA, 661 nt
Organism: Bombus pyrosoma
Lineage: Eukaryota; Metazoa; Arthropoda; Insecta; Hymenoptera; Apidae
Exons: 2
Source: RefSeq, a predicted model, not a curated record
ACCGUCGAGGCAUCUCGAUGGCGCAGCGUGUUAAAAACGCGAAGUGGACCCGCGGAUUCUCCGCGCAAUACUCACGUCAGCGCCGACAAAAGUGACAGUCAUACGUUACUCUAAGAGGCAGAAUUAACUGUUUAGAAGCAAGCCGGAGAUGCAUGCCGUGAACUCGUGCUUACUGGUAUGGAGGGUUAAUUUCGAUGAAAAUUUCGGUGCUGGACGAUGGAAAAGAUUAUGAAACUUUGGAAUACGUGGUUAUCGUUGGGCGAAGGUUAGAAACAGAGGAGAACAUCAUUCGGUUAGUAUAUCGUAGUAGUAGAUCGUGUGAUACAGCGUGAUUCGAUCGAAUGAAUUAAUUGAAAUUUCGUUGGUUUACGUAUAGGAUGGAGCUUCUAAAAAAAAAAAAAAAAAAAAUAUGUAAAAAGUUCUCGAAUAUACGAGAGUUUACUAAAAUUAUUUUAGAUGUGCGUAGAUGAUGUUAUCGCGCGUGUUUAUAGCGACUUGCUUUAAUAAAUGCGAGAGACGAAUACGACUUCUAUUAAUUCCCUGUUUUCGAAUGAUUUUGAUUCGUCAAAGAGGAAUGAGUUUGGACUUUAGAUAUUACGACAUAUGUGUAAUCGUCAUUGCGCAAUAUUCUUUAUCUCGAUAAACUCUGUUACUACGAAAA